This is a non-coding RNA of Odocoileus virginianus texanus, 2034 nucleotides long. NCBI's taxonomy places the organism in Eukaryota, Metazoa, Chordata, Mammalia, Artiodactyla, Cervidae. The record is from RefSeq and is a predicted model, not a curated record.
UCCUGGAAGUCAGCACUUCAGUGGGUCUGGUUGACUUCUCGGUUCGGUGUCUCAGGAGGCAGAAACGCCAGUGUAGGCGGGGCUGCUCCACUAUUUAUGGGAGAAUCCAUCUUCAAGCUCAUCCAGACGGUUGGCAGAACCCAGCUGCACAGGCUGUAGGACGCACGUCCACGUCCUUGCUGGCUGCUGACCAGGGCUCUUCCGCUUCUGCAGGCGCCCUUGUUGCUGUUUGCGGAGCCAGCAACAGCAGUCGCGUCCGCCCCGUGCUCCUGUCUUACCCCACCCUUCUCCUCGGCUGCAGCUCUGAUUCCAGCUGGAGAGACGUCUCUACUUUUAAAGACUCGGGAGAUUAGAUUGCGUCCACCUGGCUAAUCCAGGCUAUGCUCCCUGUUUUAGGUCGGAUAACCAUACUUAUUACAUCUAUGCUCUGCCUUCCCAUCCACAGUCGAGUGAGUGUUUGAUGGAAUCACCAGGUGUUGGAAAUCUCCGGGGUCAUCUUUAGAAUUCUGCCUUUCGGAGGGUUGGAAUCCUCUAAGAAAAGGUCCUCAAGUAGUUGAGACUCUUAAUGAAGUACCUGGGAAUGAAAUGGCAUGAAGCGUUGGGCCUACUUGGAAAUACUUCAGAACAGGAAAAACAGCCAAAGCAAAUAUGGGUAAAUAUCUGUGAUUCUCAGAUCUGAGUGGCAAGUAAAUCAGACUUCAUCGUGGGAUUCUCUCUGCUUUCAUGUGAGCUUGGAAAUUCUCAUCAUGAAAUAUUUAAAAAGAAGACAAUAAUCACCUUGCUAUUAAGUGACCUCAAGGAUCAGUUCCAGGAAAGUGAUGAGGGAAGAGAACAGGCUGCAAAAGGACUCUGGUCACUCAUCUUUGGAAAACCUCUGAUCCAGCCCUAUCCUCAUAUUUUCCAACAAAGAAUAUAUGGCCAAGAGAGGGUAAGUGACUUGCCCAAGAUCACACAGCUGUUUGGAGACAAGAGCCAGUCUGGGUCUUUCUCUCUUUCCCACCUGCCUCUCUGCCAUGUCCCUUGGGUUUAGAUACAACUAUGGCCCCCUCACCUCCCCAAGUGUCACUGGAGAUUCAGAAAGCUGAGUUAUAUAUACACAGACAAACUUUAUCCUAGUAAGUCAUUUGGUUCUGAACCUUUGGCCAUACAACCCAAAUGGGUGGACUUAUUCAGCCCCUUCACGGCAUGGCCUGACCUCAGACAGACCCCAAAGCAUCUCGGGAGUGAAGCUGCAGAGGCUCCACCGCCCACAGCAUCUUGCCCGGCCUCCUCCACACAGCAUCCUAACAAGCAGCUAUGUGACCGAAUUCACUGCUCAUCCCUACCUUUGGUCUCAGCUCACACCAUUCCUCCUGCCUGGCCUUUUUCCUCCCCAAGGCUGUCUCUCCUCUCAGUCCCCACCUCUCCGCAGGUGGUUCUGCCAACCUGGCUAACGGUCACCUCUCUGCUCUGAUCCUCCACACCCUGCUGCCUGGGCCACUCACCUGGUUCCAGGCAUCUGGGUUCUGUUAUGCUAUUGAUACUCUCCUGUGUGAGUCUCACCACUCUAACCAGAUUUAGGAGACUUAAGGCAGGGUCCAUCGCUUACAGCUCUGUAUUCACAAGGCCUUGCUCAAUAGACCACCGUGGAGAAGAAUCAUUUAAUGGGCUUGAGGGAUGGAGGCAGCAAGAUGAAGUCAAGAGAAACAAAGGGGGAGAAAGAAGAAAGGGGUAGGAAAGAGAAGGAUGUAAGAGGAAGGAGGGAAGGGGGUGGUUGUAGAGAUGACUGAGAACGGAGAUGGGGUCUUUAAAGAGUUAAAUGAGCUAAAAUGAGGUCAUCAGGGUGGACUGUAAUCCAAUAUGACCGAUGUCAUUAUAAAAAGAGAUCAGAAUACACACACACUGGGAAAAUGACGAGAAGACACAGGGAGAAGACGGACAUCUAAGAGCCAGGGAAAGGAGCCUCAGAAGAAACCAGCUCUGCAGCACCUUGACGUUGGACAUCUAGCCUCCAGAAUUGUGAGAAAAUUAUAUUUGUUGUUUAAGACACCCAGU